Molecule: long non-coding RNA, 604 nt
Organism: Mauremys mutica (yellowpond turtle)
Lineage: Eukaryota; Metazoa; Chordata; Testudines; Geoemydidae
Exons: 5
Source: RefSeq, a predicted model, not a curated record
CCUCAGGCUCAGCGCGCGAACUUCGGCCGCCGGGGCCAGCCUCCGCACGCUGCUCUCUGAUUGGCUGCCCAGCCCCUCGCGCUUCCGCUCCCCCGGUGGCCGUUGGGAUUUGAAGAAAAGCGCGGGAAAGGCGGUUGGUCUGCCCUUCGCUCGCCGCGGAGACUCGCGUGAUGAGGGCUCCACCAUGUCAUUGGGGAGCACAGGCUGCACAGAGGUGGGAGGCUGCUCUGGGCCCCUGAAACAUACUGUGAAGGGAUUAUUCAGAGGAGGACAUUCUCAAAGGCUGCACAGGAGAAGUUUUAAGAAAGUGGUUGAAGAUAGAAAGCAUUGGGACCACUGACGGCACAUAGCAUGAAGGAAUUCUGCAAUCUAUAUUCUAAUGGUAGCACUGGUUCCUGGAAUCCAGCUCCUAGUCAGACCUGGUUAACUGGAGCUAUUUGCCAACAACUUCUCACAGAGAUGACAGAUAUUUAUUAACAGGUUUGACCCAUGGAGACCAGGUUCUGAUGCACAGUGCUCCAUCCUUGACGCAAGUGAGUAGGCAGUCUGGAUUAAGAUGAAGCAUUGCAUGUUGGGACUUUUAGCCUGUAUCUCUGUAUUAAAG